GGCCCUCCCAAUCCUUUAUCUGCUUCUGGGAUCCCCAAAGACUGGGAACCUUUCUCAGCAUCUUUCCUGUGGAAAGACCAUCUGCUCCAUUUGCUGUUGCAACACGAAAAGCCACUCUGAAGCUCAAUGGGGAAUUUCAAUGAGUUUAUUUUAUCUCAUGUGACCCACAUAGGCUCAGACUUAUAGGUGCUCUGCAAAUGCUAAUUGGUGAUGACCAGGAUAAUAAUUGUGACAAAUGCUCCCAUGAAACUGAUGAGUCAUUUAGUGGAAGAGGCGGAGUACAGCAGUUAUGUAAUGUUACUUCACCAAACAGGUGACAGAUCUGGGACUAGACACCAUGACUUCUGACUCAACCCAGAGCUCCUUCCAAUGUGUGAUGCUGAGAAUGAGAAUCACAGAGAAUGAAACAACAUCUUAGUCCAUAAGAACAUCAGCUACACCAGCAAAGUGGUAGCCUCAGGUGCUUCCCUUCCAAUCGCCAUUUCUUGUUGAACAGUUCUAAGCCCAAACCAAAUAUAGUCACUUCCUUGCUGUGUUCAAGUCUUUACCUGAGGUGUGAAAUAAAUUCUGCCUAUUCCAGUGUGUUCUCAAGGCAGCAGCAUGAUUACAUCUUUAGGAAAUCCUAAUGGUAAUUCUUCUACUUUCCCAUCACAGCAUUGCCUGCACCUCUAUUAUAGAUUUGAUGGACAGAUGUGACUUAGUAAAUACUGCCAUCUGGCCACUCUACUGAGAUCCUAUGGGCCCCAAUCACUUUUUCUGUCAUUAUUAUCUACUCUAAAACAACAUAAAAAAGAUGAAAGUCCAAGUCACACAGCUUUUCUCUUGCUACUGUGUGGUUCAUUCACUGAAAGAGCAUUGGGUUUUACAGAAAGUUGUUUAUCAUGAAUGGUACACAGUGGAGCAAUAAAUUCCUUUUGAAUGAGGAGCAUCAGAGAAGAGAUAAAGUAUCUAGAACUAAGCACCUUGGCAAUUUAAAUUAAAUCUGUAUUUGGCCAACUAAGAAAAUUUAAA
Pteronotus mesoamericanus is the source of this 1011-nucleotide long non-coding RNA. RefSeq lists it as uncharacterized. The record is from RefSeq and is a predicted model, not a curated record. The transcript is spliced from 3 exons. Lineage: Eukaryota; Metazoa; Chordata; Mammalia; Chiroptera; Mormoopidae.